GAUGAACGCUGGCGGCGUGCCUAAUACAUGCAAGUCGAGCGAACGGACGAGAAGCUUGCUUCUCUGACGUUAGCGGCGGACGGGUGAGUAACACGUGGAUAACCUACCUAUAAGACUGGGAUAACUUCGGGAAACCGGAGCUAAUACCGGAUAAUAUAUUGAACCGCAUGGUUCAAAAGUGAAAGACGGUUUUGCUGUCACUUAUAGGUGGAUCCGCGCUGCAUUAGCUAGUUGGUAAGGUAACGGCUUACCAAGGCAACGAUGCAUAGCCGACCUGAGAGGGUGAUCGGCCACACUGGAACUGAGACACGGUCCAGACUCCUACGGGAGGCAGCAGUAGGGAAUCUUCCGCAAUGGGCGAAAGCCUGACGGAGCAACGCCGCGUGAGUGAUGAAGGUCUUCGGAUCGUAAAACUCUGUUAUUAGGGAAGAACAAAUGUGUAAGUAACUGUGCACGUCUUGACGGUACCUAAUCAGAAAGCCACGGCUAACUACGUG
RNAcentral lists this ribosomal RNA (497 nucleotides) under uncultured bacterium. RNAcentral's name for it is "partial 16S ribosomal RNA". It matches the Rfam family "Bacterial small subunit ribosomal RNA", at positions 28 to 507 of the family's 1533-position model. The record is from RNAcentral.